This 285-nucleotide long non-coding RNA is filed under the name Gossypium barbadense (sea-island cotton). RNAcentral's name for it is "long non-coding RNA (GBAR_LNC008514)". Lineage: Eukaryota; Viridiplantae; Streptophyta; Magnoliopsida; Malvales; Malvaceae. The record is from RNAcentral.
CGGGAGUAGGUCGAUGGAGACUGCACAGAAUCCUCAGAGAACAUUCGCUGCAUUGCAGUCACAAUUUCAUCAUCAUCAUCAUCAUCAUCAUCAUCAUCAGGGGUAGACACAGCAGAAGGAAAUGAUGCAGACUUAGCUAAACACUUUGAAGGAGGUUUGCUUUUCUGCCUCUGUUCGAGCAACUCUUCCACUUUACUCGUGUUUGUAUCGUUAGAUUCAUUAACAUCGUUGAAACAUGUACGAACCAUAGCAUGCUUUAUGUCACUUAGAUUUUCUACCUCUCCA